Molecule: ribosomal RNA, 475 nt
Filed under: uncultured Rhodoferax sp.
Lineage: Bacteria; Pseudomonadati; Pseudomonadota; Betaproteobacteria; Burkholderiales; Comamonadaceae
Description: bacterial SSU rRNA
Rfam family: Bacterial small subunit ribosomal RNA
Source: RNAcentral
AAAUGAAUUGACGGGACCGCACAAGCGGUGGAUGAUGUGGUUUAAUUCGAUGCAACGCGAAAACCUUACCACCUUUGACAUGUACGGAAGCCUUUAGAGAUAGAGGCGUGCUCGAAAGAGAGCCGUAACACAGGUGCUGCAUGGCUGUCGUCAGCUCGUGUCGUGAGAUGUUGGGUUAAGUCCCGCAACGAGCGCAACCCUUGUCAUUAGUUGCUACAUUCAGUUGGGCACUCUAAUGAGACUGCCGGUGACAAGCCGGAGGAAGGUGGGGAUGACGUCAAGUCCUCAUGGCCCUUAUAGGUGGGGCUACACACGUCAUACAAUGGCUGGUACAAAGGGUUGCCAACCCGCGAGGGGGAGCUAAUCCCAUAAAGCCAGUCGUAGUCCGGAUCGUAGUCUGCAACUCGACUACGUGAAGUCGGAAUCGCUAGUAAUCGUGGAUCAGAAUGUCACGGUGAAUACGUUCCCGGGUCUU